UACGAAGGGGGCUAGCGUUGCUCGGAAUCACUGGGCGUAAAGGGUGCGUAGGCGGGUCUUUAAGUCAGGGGUGAAAUCCCGGAGCUCAACUCCAGAACUGCCUUUGAUACUGAGGAUCUUGAGUUCGGGAGAGGUGAGUGGAACUGCGAGUGUAGAGGUGAAAUUCGUAGAUAUUCGCAAGAACACCAGUGGCGAAGGCGGCUCACUGGCCCGAUACUGACGCUGAGGCACGAAAGCGUGGGGAGCAAACAGG
This 253-nucleotide ribosomal RNA is filed under the name uncultured bacterium. Its description in RNAcentral is "partial 16S ribosomal RNA". It matches the Rfam family "Bacterial small subunit ribosomal RNA", at positions 524 to 776 of the family's 1533-position model. The record is from RNAcentral.